UUAACUAUUUCUCUGUAGGGCAUGUUUGCUUAAUUUCUAUGCUGUUUCCAUGCAGUCUUGCCAUUUUUGUCUGCAGGCAGAGUGGGUUUUGUGUAUCAGCAGAGACAGAACUGCAGUGAGGUGCUUUGAUAGCUACACACAGUUUGGCUGCUGGGCCCAAACUCUUCUCCUUGCCAUGCCAAUCUGAGUAGCUAAAUUCUUCCAGGUGGUAAUGAUCAUUUCAGCAGUUGCACUGAACCUGCAGCACCUGUACAUCUUCUCUGGGCAAAGCAGAAGUAGUUUCAGUUGCCGGGAACUUGGAUGAAUUUGACAUUCUUUCUCCUCAUGAACGUGUAGAAUAUUUGACUAGACAUAACAGCAUGCUGGUUAAUGAAGAGGAGUGAUAGCUGUGGGGGGAAGAGAAUAAGGAAAGGGUGCAAAAGCAAUGUUGCUGCAGCACUUUGAUUUCAGAAUUGGGAGGCUGUGUUGCAUUUACAGACUUGUAUGAGGAAAAUAAUAUUUUAUGUUGUAAAGGCCUUUGGUUCCUGCUGUUCACAGAAAACUGCAGAUGGCUGCCUCAGCAGGAAGCCCUUCCCCCUUCCUUAAUGGAACUCGUGGGAAUGCGGGGAUCCUGGAACCGAAGCCCUCCUUCCCUUCCAAACCUCCUCUCCAAACCCCUACUGAGUAAAAGGAAAAAAAUCCCCACAUCCCUGGAAACAUUUUUGCCAGCCUGUUUUUCAGUAAAAACUUAAAUUAACCACUUCACUCCUGAUUAUAAUAAAGAUUUGUUAUUGAAACA
Molecule: long non-coding RNA, 778 nt
Filed under: Numida meleagris (helmeted guineafowl)
Lineage: Eukaryota; Metazoa; Chordata; Aves; Galliformes; Numididae
Description: lncRNA (ENSNMEG00000006766.1)
Source: RNAcentral